RNAcentral lists this ribosomal RNA (352 nucleotides) under uncultured Maribacter sp. RNAcentral describes it as "bacterial SSU rRNA". It matches the Rfam family "Bacterial small subunit ribosomal RNA", at positions 376 to 725 of the family's 1533-position model. Lineage: Bacteria; Pseudomonadati; Bacteroidota; Flavobacteriia; Flavobacteriales; Flavobacteriaceae. The record is from RNAcentral.
GGAGGCUCUGAUCCAGCCAUGCCGCGUGCAGGAAGAAUGCCCUAUGGGUAGUAAACUGCUUUUAUACGGGAAGAAAAAAGGCUACGUGUAGCCUACUGACGGUACCGUAAGAAUAAGGACCGGCUAACUCCGUGCCAGCAGCCGCGGUAAUACGGAGGGUCCGAGCGUUAUCCGGAAUUAUUGGGUUUAAAGGGUCCGUAGGCGGGCGAUUAAGUCAGUGGUGAAAGUCUGCAGCUCAACUGUAGAAUUGCCUUUGAUACUGAUCGUCUUGAGUUAUGGUGAAGUUGCCGGAAUAUGUAGUGUAGCGGUGAAAUGCAUAGAUAUUACAUAGAACACCGAUUGCGAAGGCAGA